RNAcentral lists this ribosomal RNA (616 nucleotides) under Rothia terrae. Its description in RNAcentral is "bacterial SSU rRNA". It matches the Rfam family "Bacterial small subunit ribosomal RNA", at positions 57 to 679 of the family's 1533-position model. Lineage: Bacteria; Bacillati; Actinomycetota; Actinomycetes; Micrococcales; Micrococcaceae. The record is from RNAcentral.
GCAGUCGAACGAUGAAGACCGGUGCUUGCACUGGUUGGAUUAGUGGCGAACGGGUGAGUAAUACGUGAGUAACCUGCCUUUGACUCUGGGAUAAGCCUUGGAAACGAGGUCUAAUACCGGAUACGACUAACCUUCGCAUGAAGUGUUAGUGGAAAGGGUUUGUACUGGUUUUAGAUGGGCUCACGGCCUAUCAGCUUGUUGGUGAGGUAAUGGCUCACCAAGGCGACGACGGGUAGCCGGCCUGAGAGGGUGACCGGCCACACUGGGACUGAGACACGGCCCAGACUCCUACGGGAGGCAGCAGUGGGGAAUAUUGCACAAUGGGCGCAAGCCUGAUGCAGCGACGCCGCGUGAGGGAUGACGGCCUUCGGGUUGUAAACCUCUUUCAGCAGGGGAGAAGCGAAAGUGACGGUACCUGCAGAAGAAGCGCCGGCUAACUACGUGCCAGCAGCCGCGGUAAUACGUAGGGCGCGAGCGUUGUCCGGAAUUAUUGGGCGUAAAGAGCUUGUAGGCGGUUUGUCGCGUCUGCUGUGAAAGCCCGGGGCUUAACUCCGGGUUUGCAGUGGGUACGGGCUAACUAGAGUGCAGUAGGGGAGACUGGAAUUCCUGGUGUAGC